RNAcentral lists this small RNA (128 nucleotides) under Gaetbulibacter sp. S0825. RNAcentral's name for it is "6S RNA". It matches the Rfam family "6S-Flavo RNA". RNAcentral also lists the same sequence under 1 other name. The record is from RNAcentral. Lineage: Bacteria; Pseudomonadati; Bacteroidota; Flavobacteriia; Flavobacteriales; Flavobacteriaceae.
ACUCAACGUUAAUUCUUUAAAAAGGGUGAGUUGAAGUUGUAAAAGCGAGCUGCAUGUGUUGAACUUGUUUCAGUGCAAAACAGAUACUUGAUCAGCUUAUUAGCCCUAAACUUGUUUUUAAGGAGUUU